AAUUUUAGAUUCUCCAGAAACGAAACAGCGGUAUCUCACAAAACCCCAAAUUCUCAUUCUGCACAACUCUAACCCUCCUCCCCACUUCAAAGACGAAGGCGAGAAAGCUAAAUUCGGCUAAAUAACAGAGCAAUGGAAACCGGUAGCGUCAGUAAAGUGAUACCGGAAUCAGUAAUGGAGGCGGUGAGUAGAACUCGUAUCAACAUCGAUGAAGUGCAGGCCAAUUUGGACCAGCUGUUAUCUUGCUAUGACAAAGAAACCCUUGCAACCAUGGAGCCUCUCGAGAGGGCCCGAAUCCACUUAUUGAUUGCCAAAACAACAACUACUCUCUUUGCUUUGAAACUAAGAUGCAGAGGUGUUAAUCCAGAUGAUCAUCCUGUGAAAAAAGAGUUUGAAAGAUUGAGCUUGUACGAAGAGAAACUACAGAGAUGCGUAGACUUGAGCAAAGCUCCCCUGAGACCCUCAACAACCGUCAACACCCCUGCAGCAGCCCGGUUUAUUGAGCAUUCUCUGCCUGAUCUUUCCUCUGAACAGAAGCAAAGCAUGCGGGAAAUUAGUCGUGGGGAGGGUCGGGGAUUCAAGUAUGUGGACAACAAUCUCCACAAGAAGAGAAAAUACCAGUCAUCCGAGAAGCUAUCUGUUCGUUCUGCUGCUCAGGAGUUUCUUGAGAAAGCAGCACGUGAGCUACUUGGUGAUAAUAAAAAUGGUGUUAAAGGACCUUUACAACCUGCAGAUUCAGAUGAGGAUAUCCUAGUUCUGGACUGAUCCUAUGGUUCCAUUGAUCAUGAGGACCAGCUUCCCAUUGCAUUGAAAUUAUAGGAAGGCGAGACAUAUUUUGUUGAUCGCAGAUGGCGAUGGUCUCCAGCAAAUAACUACUGCCUCUAUUUUCUGGUGGUAUAUUAAAUAUCCGUCGUACUAGCCAGGUGUCUGAUGAGGUUAAAUGAACAAGCCUACUGUGUUUAGCCGUUUAAGCCAAGUUCAACCUCCAUUCUUUCGUUAGAACAUGUAACUUUUCAGAAUGAAUCAACUUCUGGUUAAAGCUAUGUAACUUUUUAGCUGGGAAAUUCUGCAAGACUACAUUUCAAGAAAUGAGGAGUGGAGAAAAAACGCGGACACGCACAAGAUGAGCCCGGAGGAAGUGAGGAGAUCAGGUGUGGAGGCCUCAAAGCAGCCGCCGGGACACCACCCCGGCGAGGUCCUCCACCAGCGCCGG
RNA transcript from Salvia splendens (bonfire salvia), 1213 nucleotides. It is a transcript of the gene named nuclear nucleic acid-binding protein C1D, with no coding region annotated. The transcript has 7 exons. Lineage: Eukaryota; Viridiplantae; Streptophyta; Magnoliopsida; Lamiales; Lamiaceae. The record is from RefSeq and is a predicted model, not a curated record.